GAUGAACGCUGGCGGCGUGCCUAAUACAUGCAAGUCGAGCGAACGGACGAGAAGCUUGCUUCUCUGAUGUUAGCGGCGGACGGGUGAGUAACACGUGGAUAACCUACCUAUAAGACUGGGAUAACUUCGGGAAACCGGAGCUAAUACCGGAUAAUAUUUUGAACCGCAUGGUUCAAAAGUGAAAGACGGUCUUGCUGUCACUUAUAGACGGAUCCGCGCUGCAUUAGCUAGUUGGUAAGGUAACGGCUUACCAAGGCAACGAUGCAUAGCCGACCUGAGAGGGUGAUCGGCCACACUGGAACUGAGACACGGUCCAGACUCCUACGGGAGCCAGCAGUAGGGAAUCUUCCGCAAUGGGCGAAAGCCUGACGGAGCAACGCCGCGUGAGUGAUGAAGGUCUUCGGAUCGUAAAACUCUGUUAUUAGGGAAGAACAUAUGUGUAAGUAACUGUGCACAUCUUGACGGUACCUAAUCAGAAAGCCACGGCUAACUACGUG
This 497-nucleotide ribosomal RNA is filed under the name uncultured bacterium. RNAcentral's name for it is "partial 16S ribosomal RNA". It matches the Rfam family "Bacterial small subunit ribosomal RNA", at positions 28 to 507 of the family's 1533-position model. The record is from RNAcentral.